CCUACGGGCGGCAGCAGUGAGGAAUAUUGGUCAAUGGGCGCGAGCCUGAACCAGCCAAGUAGCGUGAAGGAUGACUGCCCUACGGGUUGUAAACUUCUUUUAUAAAGGAAUAAAGUGAAGCACGUGUGCCUCUUUGUAUGUACCCUAUGAAUAAGGAUCGGCUAACUCCGUGCCAGCAGCCGCGGUAAUACGGAGGAUCCGAGCGUUAUCCGGAUUUAUUGGGUUUAAAGGGUGCGUAGGUGGGUUGUUAAGUCAGUUGUGAAAGUUUGGGGCUCAACCCUAGAAUUGCAAUUGAUACUGGCGGUCUUGAGUACGCUUGAAGUAGGCGGAAUUCGUGGUGUAGCGGUGAAAUGCAUAGAUAUCACGAAGAACGCCGAUUGCGAAGGCAGCUUACUAAACUGCAACUGACGUUGAUGCUCGAAAGUGUGGGUAUCAAACAGGAUUAGAUACCCCUGUAGUC
RNAcentral lists this ribosomal RNA (460 nucleotides) under uncultured bacterium. Its description in RNAcentral is "partial 16S ribosomal RNA". It matches the Rfam family "Bacterial small subunit ribosomal RNA", at positions 338 to 795 of the family's 1533-position model. The record is from RNAcentral.